RNAcentral lists this ribosomal RNA (505 nucleotides) under uncultured bacterium. RNAcentral describes it as "partial 16S ribosomal RNA". It matches the Rfam family "Bacterial small subunit ribosomal RNA", at positions 28 to 507 of the family's 1533-position model. The record is from RNAcentral.
GACGAACGCUGGCGGCGUGCCUAAUACAUGCAAGUAGAACGCACAGUUUAUACCGUAGCUUGCUACACCAUAGACUGUGAGUUGCGAACGGGUGAGUAACGCGUAGGUAACCUGCCUGGUAGCGGGGGAUAACUAUUGGAAACGAUAGCUAAUACCGCAUAAUAUUAAUUAUUGCAUGAUAAUUAAUUGAAAGGUGCAAUUGCACCACUACCAGAUGGACCUGCGUUGUAUUAGCUGGUAGGUGAGGUAACGGCUCACCUGGGCGACGAUACAUAGCCGACCUGAGAGGGUGAUCGGCCACACUGGGACUGAGACACGGCACAGACUCCUACGGGAGGCAGCAGUAGGGAAUCUUCGGCAAUGGACGAAAGUCUGACCGAGCAACGCCGCGUGAGUGAAGAAGGUUUUCGGAUCGUAAAGCUCUGUUGUAAGAGAAGAACGGGUGUGAGAGUGGAAAGUUCACACUGUGACGGUAUCUUACCAGAAAGGGACGGCUAACUACGUG